This 244-nucleotide long non-coding RNA is filed under the name Elaeis guineensis (African oil palm). Its description in RNAcentral is "long non-coding RNA (EGUI_LNC021984)". Lineage: Eukaryota; Viridiplantae; Streptophyta; Magnoliopsida; Arecales; Arecaceae. The record is from RNAcentral.
UUGGACGUCUGAGAGACAAAGAGAAAGCAUUCCUUCCAGCCAUAGACAGUGGUUAGGACAUCUUGGAUCAGCGAUCAGAUAUUUUUCUUCCUCCUUGAUGACACAUACCAUCAUCCGUGGGAUUCUAGAUGCCUCUUGAGGCUGAAGAAGAGGUGAAAAAAUAUGAUGCUGGACUCGAUCCCGGUCAGCAUUCAUACCACGAUGAAAUCACAGAUGUGCUGCCAUGAAUUGGAUACCACCGAAC